Molecule: ribosomal RNA, 422 nt
Filed under: uncultured Mucilaginibacter sp.
Lineage: Bacteria; Pseudomonadati; Bacteroidota; Sphingobacteriia; Sphingobacteriales; Sphingobacteriaceae
Description: bacterial SSU rRNA
Rfam family: Bacterial small subunit ribosomal RNA
Source: RNAcentral
UAAGGAAUAUUGGUCAAUGGGCGGAAGCCUGAACCAGCCAUGCCGCGUGCAGGAAGACGGCCCUACGGGUUGUAAACUGCUUUUAUACCGGAAUAAACCUUUUCACGUGUGAGAAGCUGAAUGUACGGUAAGAAUAAGGAUCGGCUAACUCCGUGCCAGCAGCCGCGGUAAUACGGAGGAUCCAAGCGUUAUCCGGAUUUAUUGGGUUUAAAGGGUGCGUAGGUGGCUUAUUAAGUCAGGGGUGAAAGACGGUGGCUCAACCAUCGCAGUGCCCUUGAUACUGAUGAGCUUGAAUGGACUAGAGGUAGGCGGAAUGUGACAAGUAGCGGUGAAAUGCAUAGAUAUGUCACAGAACACCGAUUGCGAAGGCAGCUUACUAUGGUUUUAUUGACGCUGAGGCACGAAAGCGUGGGGAUCAAACA